RNAcentral lists this ribosomal RNA (407 nucleotides) under uncultured Actinomycetes bacterium. RNAcentral describes it as "bacterial SSU rRNA". It matches the Rfam family "Bacterial small subunit ribosomal RNA", at positions 9 to 419 of the family's 1533-position model. The record is from RNAcentral. Lineage: Bacteria; Bacillati; Actinomycetota; Actinomycetes.
GAGUUUGAUCGUGGCUCAGGACGAACGCUGGCGGCGUGCUUAACACAUGCAAGUCGAGCGGAAAGGCCCUUUCGGGGGUACUCGAGCGGCGAACGGGUGAGUAACACGUGAGUAACCUGCCUCUGGCUUUGGGAUAACCCUCGGAAACGGGGCUAAUACCGAAUAUUCAGCUUCAAGGGCAUCUUUGGGGUUGGAAAGUUUUUCGGCUAGGGAUGGGCUCGCGGCCUAUCAGCUUGUUGGUGGGGUAAUGGCCUACCAAGGCGGCGACGGGUAGCCGGCCUGAGAGGGCGACCGGCCACACUGGGACUGAGACACGGCCCAGACUCCUACGGGAGGCAGCAGUGGGGAAUAUUGCACAAUGGGCGGAAGCCUGAUGCAGCGACGCCGCGUGAGGGAUGACGGCCUUC